Non-coding RNA from Paramormyrops kingsleyae, 996 nucleotides. The record is from RefSeq and is a predicted model, not a curated record. Lineage: Eukaryota; Metazoa; Chordata; Actinopteri; Osteoglossiformes; Mormyridae.
UAGUCCUCUGUGUUCCUGAUCGUGCACUGUAAAAAAUCGAACCUUCAAAAUCGUUAAAUGAAAUGAAGAUUCUAAGUUGAAAAAGCAAAUACACCUAAUAAAUGUUCAGGUAACUUAUAAACACGAGUUUAGUUAUUUUUCUUCUUCUAAUGUUCAGGGGAAAUGAUAAAUAAAGUUGCGUUAAAUCGCGUUCUUCAAUUUUAGUCGAUUCCGUGUACUUUCCGUCACUGCGCAUGCGGACUCCCCCCUUGGAAAGACAAACGGUUCGGAUGCCUACAAGUUUCAGCAAAGAUACGCUUUUCGCGCUUUGGCAAAGCAUAAGGUUUGGAAUGCAAUGCAAACUAUGCAAAAUUGAGAACCCUCUCCUGAUGUACUACUGAAGCACUGCAGGUUGUGUCACUAUCAAGGCCGCUCUUCGUCAUUACCCUGUCUCUAUCCUGAGUGUGUUUGCACUUACAGAAAUCCAGGUGCGUUGAAGUCACAUUUAUCUCGAGCACAUAGACAAAUUCCACAACAAGCACCCCAUUUUAAUUUUUUGUGCGAAACCUUAUCAUAUUCAUGAUUGUAAUAUGCAUUCUUAUUUGGACCUGUAUGACUUUGUUGCAGAGAAUUAUGAUAUUACAGGAUUUCUUUAUCUUUUUUGUAACCUUAAGAUCUUUUAAAUGCAAAGAAGUGUUUGUGUAUGCCCAGUGAGAGAGGAAUUCUUUUUUGUGACAUGUUCAAAGAUGUAAUGUUUGACAUAAAAGUUCUGCUCAUAUGCAAUCAGGCAUGUUUGGUAUAUAUGUUAGCCUAAUAAAUAGGGCACACAUCUUUCUUGUGGUGCCUUGCUGAAGUGUGUGCGUGUCAGCAGUGAUCUUUUAAGGUGGAGUGUGGUGUUGAACAUUUAAAAAAAAUGUGUACUUUAUAUAUUCCUUUAAAUUUAAAAAGGUUAAUAAAUGUGUGUGUGUAUACAAAAUGUUCAAAAAGGAGAGUGAAAUAAAAAGUUGUAUUUAAUAA